This 797-nucleotide ribosomal RNA is filed under the name uncultured bacterium. Its description in RNAcentral is "bacterial SSU rRNA". It matches the Rfam family "Bacterial small subunit ribosomal RNA", at positions 65 to 840 of the family's 1533-position model. The record is from RNAcentral.
AACGGUAACAGGAAUAGCUUGCUAUUUCGCUGACGAGUGGCGGACGGGUGAGUAAUGUAUAGGGAUCUGCCUAGUAGUGGGGGACAACAUGUGGAAACGCAUGCUAAUACCGCAUACGCUCUACGGAGGAAAGUGGGGGACCUUUCGGGGCCUCACGCUACUAGAUGAACCUAUAUCAGAUUAGCUAGUCGGUGAGGUAAUGGCUCACCAAGGCGACGAUCUGUAGCUGGUUUGAGAGAAUGAUCAGCCACACUGGGACUGAGACACGGCCCAGACUCCUACGGGAGGCAGCAGUGGGGAAUAUUGCACAAUGGGCGCAAGCCUGAUGCAGCAAUGCCGCGUGUGUGAAGAAGGCCUUAGGGUUGUAAAGCACUUUCAAUAGGGAGGAAAAGUUAUACGUUAAUAGCGUAUAACCGUGACGUUACCUAUAGAAGAAGGACCGGCUAACUCCGUGCCAGCAGCCGCGGUAAUACGGAGGGUCCGAGCGUUAAUCGGAAUUACUGGGCGUAAAGCGCGCGUAGGCGGUUUACUCAGUCAGAUGUGAAAGCCCCGGGCUCAACCUGGGAACUGCAUUUGAUACUGGUAGGCUAGAGUAUGGUAGAGAGUGGAGAUUGGAAAUUUCAGGUGUGGUAGGCGGUUGAAAUGCGUAGAGAUCUGAAGGAACAUCAGUUGGCGAAAGGCGACUCACUGGGCCAUUACUGACGCUGAGGUGCGAAAGCGUGGGUAGCAAACAGGAUUAGAUACCCUGGUAGUCCACGCCCUAACGAUGUCAACUAGUGUGUGAGCGUUUAACGCUU